AACGCGAAGAACCUUACCAGCUUUUGACAUGUCCUGGACGGAUUGCAGAGAUGCGAUCUUCCCUUCGGGGCCGGGAACACAGGUGCUGCAUGGCUGUCGUCAGCUCGUGUCGUGAGAUGUUGGGUUAAGUCCCGCAACGAGCGCAACCCUCGCCCUUAGUUGCCAUCAUUCAGUUGGGCACUCCAGGGGGACUGCCGGUGAUAAGCCGGAGGAAGGUGGGGAUGACGUCAAGUCCUCAUGGCCCUUACAGGCUGGGCUACACACGUGCUACAAUGGCGGUGACAGCGGGAGGCGAAGGGGCGACCCUGAGCAAAUCUCGAAAAGCCGUCUCAGUUCGGAUUGCACUCUGCAACUCGAGUGCAUGAAGUUGGAAUCGCUAGUAAUCGCGGAUCAGCACGCCGCGGUGAAUACGUUCCCGGGCCUUGUA
This 427-nucleotide ribosomal RNA is filed under the name uncultured Alphaproteobacteria bacterium. RNAcentral's name for it is "bacterial SSU rRNA". It matches the Rfam family "Bacterial small subunit ribosomal RNA", at positions 958 to 1385 of the family's 1533-position model. The record is from RNAcentral. Lineage: Bacteria; Pseudomonadati; Pseudomonadota; Alphaproteobacteria.